RNAcentral lists this ribosomal RNA (588 nucleotides) under uncultured bacterium. Its description in RNAcentral is "bacterial SSU rRNA". It matches the Rfam family "Bacterial small subunit ribosomal RNA", at positions 138 to 745 of the family's 1533-position model. The record is from RNAcentral.
GGGGGAUAACACUUAGAAAUAGGUGCUAAUACCGCAUAACGGGGGAAGCCGCAUGGCUUUUCCCUGAAAACUCCGGUGGUACAGGAUGGGCCCGCGUCUGAUUAGCCAGUUGGCAGGGUAACGGCCUACCAAAGCGACGAUCAGUAGCCGGCCUGAGAGGGCGGACGGCCACACUGGGACUGAGACACGGCCCAGACUCCUACGGGAGGCAGCAGUGGGGGAUAUUGCACAAUGGGGGGAACCCUGAUGCAGCGACGCCGCGUGGGUGAAGAAGCGCCUCGGCGCGUAAAGUCCUGUCAGCAGGGAAGAAAAUGACGGUACCUGAAGAAGAAGCCCCGGCUAACUACGUGCCAGCAGCCGCGGUAAUACGUAGGGGGCAAGCGUUAUCCGGAUUUACUGGGUGUAAAGGGGGCGCAGACGGCGAUGCAAGCCAGGAGUGAAAGCCCGGGGCCCAACCCCGGGACUGCUCUUGGAACUGCGUGGCUGGAGUGUAGGAGGGGCAGGCGGAAUUCCUGGUGUAGCGGUGAAAUGCGUAGAUAUCAGGAGGAACACCGGUGGCGAAGGCGGCCUGCUGGACUGCAACUGACG